UACGUAGGGUGCGAGCGUUGUCCGGAAUUAUUGGGCGUAAAGAGCUUGUAGGCGGUCUGUCGCGUCUGCUGUGAAAAUCCGGGGCUCAACCCCGGACUUGCAGUGGGUACGGGCAGACUAGAGUGUGGUAGGGGAGACUGGAAUUCCUGGUGUAGCGGUGAAAUGCGCAGAUAUCAGGAGGAACACCAAUGGCGAAGGCAGCACUCUGGGACGUGACUGACGCUGAGACGCGAAAGCGUGGGGAGCAAACAGG
Molecule: ribosomal RNA, 253 nt
Filed under: uncultured bacterium
Lineage: Bacteria
Description: partial 16S ribosomal RNA
Rfam family: Bacterial small subunit ribosomal RNA
Source: RNAcentral